GCCAGGCAUGAUGGCACAUGCCUGUAAUCCUAGCUGCUUGGGAGGUUGAGGCAAGAGAAUCAUAAGUUGAAAGCCAGCCUGAGCAACUUAGGAAGACCCUGUCUCAA
This 107-nucleotide small RNA is filed under the name Marmota monax (woodchuck). Lineage: Eukaryota; Metazoa; Chordata; Mammalia; Rodentia; Sciuridae. The record is from RNAcentral.